GGGCAGUUAUCUCAGUUGGUUAGAGAGCAUGGUUUACACCCAUGAUGUCGGGGGUCCGAGUCCCUCACUGCCCACCA
RNAcentral lists this transfer RNA (77 nucleotides) under Clostridia bacterium. RNAcentral describes it as "tRNA-Val". It matches the Rfam family "tRNA". From Rfam's summary of the family: Transfer RNA (tRNA) molecules are approximately 80 nucleotides in length. Their secondary structure includes four short double-helical elements and three loops (D, anti-codon, and T loops). RNAcentral also lists the same sequence under 1 other name. The record is from RNAcentral. Lineage: Bacteria; Bacillati; Bacillota; Clostridia.